AAUAGAUACCCUGGUAGUCCAUGCCGUAAACGUUGGGCACUAGGUGUGGGGCUCAUUCCACGAGUUCCGUGCCGCAGCAAGCGCAUUAAGUGCCCCGCCUGGGGAGUACGGCCGCAAGGCUAAAACUCAAAGGAAUUGGCGGGGGCCCGCACAAGCGGCGGAGCAUGCGGAUUAAUUCGAUGCAACGCGAAGAACCUUACCAAGGCUUGACAUGCACGGGAAGCCACCAGAGAUGGUGGUCUCUUUGGACACUCGUGCACAGGUGGUGCAUGGUUGUCGUCAGCUCGUGUCGUGAGAUGUUGGGUUAAGUCCCGCAACGAGCGCAACCCUCGUCCCAUGUUGCCAGCGGGUUAUGCCGGGGACUCAUGGGAGACUGCCGGGGUCAACUCGGAGGAAGGUGGGGAUGACGUCAAAUCAUCAUGCCCCUUAUGUCUUGGGCUUCACGCAUGCUACAAUGGCCGGUACAAAGGGCUGCGAUACCGUAAGGUGGAGCGAAUCCCAAAAAGCCGGUCUCAGUUCGGAUUGGGGUC
This 530-nucleotide ribosomal RNA is filed under the name uncultured bacterium. RNAcentral's name for it is "bacterial SSU rRNA". It matches the Rfam family "Bacterial small subunit ribosomal RNA", at positions 777 to 1305 of the family's 1533-position model. The record is from RNAcentral.